RNAcentral lists this ribosomal RNA (185 nucleotides) under uncultured bacterium. RNAcentral's name for it is "partial 16S ribosomal RNA". It matches the Rfam family "Bacterial small subunit ribosomal RNA", at positions 1318 to 1500 of the family's 1533-position model. The record is from RNAcentral.
GCAUGAAGUUGGAAUCACUAGUAAUCGCGGAUCAGCAUGCCGCGGUGAAUGCGUUCUCAGGCCUUGUACACACCGCCCGUCACACCAUGAGAGUUGGCAAUACCCAACGUACGUGAUCUAACCCGCAAGGGAGGAAGCGUCCUAAGGUAGGGUCAGCGAUUGGGGUGAAGUCGUAACAAGGUAUC